GUGACAGCACGCAUUGCCGCAAACGAGCAGCUGAGCAUCUCUUCAUCAAGCCACCGCGCAAAUAAAACUGAAACAAGUCAUCAGGGUCACUUCCGCUGUCAUCCAGCUCCGAGCCCAAGAAGUGUCCGUUCGCCUCCCCGGUGGUGGAUGGAGUGCUGGCCCGGUCUGCCUCGGAGCAGCUGGUGCAGUCUGAAUCCAGGGAAUCCGAUGGCCCUUCAUCCUUGAACAUCUCUUUCAAAACCCGCCCGCUGUUCCCUGAGGCCACCCGGAAUCUCACCCUCUUCUGCCUCUUUCCAUCCUCCGGUGUCAACAAAGCCUCCUCCAUUGCGUCGACUUACAUGGUCCAAAAAGAAAAAGGCAUUUUAAUCCCUCGGAUUCAUGGGUGGAUGAAUAUAAUUAGCCCCGGGUUUGCUCCAUGAUGUCCCCUGGAGCCCAGGCACAGCGAGCAGAUCUGGAAAGAGGCAGAUCUGUGCGUUACCGUCAGCCUCACCACCCGUGUUCCUGUACAUGUUAAUAAUGCAUGUGGCCUUGCCAUGGUUACUGAGAAAACCGACCAUGAAGAAACUGAUAGUCUUUUUAAAUAAUUUAUCAUGCCAUAGAUUUGUCUCUUUUUGACAAUGAAUAGACCUUGACUCAUGUCUAUGUCAUGUCAAAUGUAUGCCUGUCUUUGUGACCUUUAGGUGUAAAGAAAAAAAUCUUUCAUUU
Molecule: long non-coding RNA, 705 nt
Organism: Pimephales promelas (fathead minnow)
Lineage: Eukaryota; Metazoa; Chordata; Actinopteri; Cypriniformes; Leuciscidae
Source: RefSeq, a predicted model, not a curated record